CGGCUGCGGCAAAGCCCCAAGAGUCCGGCCUCAGCCACUCAGCUCCACAACCUCCCAGGUUUCCUCCUUGUGGAUGCACAACCCGGUGGGAGGCUCCGUUCCUCCCGGCGGCGCGGAGGCCUCCGAAGGACCCCGGGGAGCGGGCUGGGAACGGGCUUUGCGGGGCUGGAGAGAAGGGUGAGGGCGCGAGGGGCGGGAGCGGCGAGCAAUGAAGAGCCGGCGGCGGCGGCGGCGUGAGUACUGCAAGGUAGCGCUGCUGUUGGUGCUGUACACGCUAGUGCUGCUGCUCGCCCCUUCCGUGCUGGACGGCGGUCGAGACUCAACCCGGGGCGCCGGGCAUUGCCCGGGCCUGCAACGCAGCCUGGGGAUGUGGAGCCUCGAGGCGGCCGCGGCGGGCGAGCGCGAGCCGGCUGCCGAGGGGGGCGCGGGCCAUGCCCCGGGGGCCCCGCGCAACUCCAGUGCCGCCAUCGGGGAAGCGGGGCCCCGCGCCAAACAGCACGUCUACGUGCAUGCCACCUGGCGCACCGGCUCGUCCUUCCUGGGCGAGCUCUUCAACCAGCACCCAGACGUCUUUUACCUGUACGAGCCCAUGUGGCACCUGUGGCAGGCGCUGUACCCCGGCGACGCUGAGAGCCUCCAGGGCGCCCUGCGGGACAUGCUACGCUCCCUCUUUCGCUGCGACUUCUCGGUGCUGCAGCUGUACGCGCCUCCGGGGGAUCCCGCCGCGCGCGCCUCGGACGCCGCCAACCUCACCACCGCCGCGCUCUUCCGCUGGCGGACCAACAAGGUCAUCUGCUCGCCCCCUCUGUGUCCCGGCGCGCCCCGCGCCCGAGCCGACGUCGGCCUGGUGGAGGACACCGCCUGCGAGCGCAGUUGCCCGCCCGUGGCCCUGCGCGCGCUGGAGGCCGAGUGCCGGAAGUACCCGGUGGUGGUCAUCAAGGACGUGCGCCUGUUGGACCUGGGCGUGCUGGUGCCCCUGCUGCGUGACCCGGGCCUCAACCUGAAGGUGGUGCAGCUCUUCCGCGACCCGCGGGCGGUGCACAACUCGCGCCUCAAGUCCAGGCAGGGGCUGCUUCGCGAGAGCAUCCAGGUUCUGCGCACCCGCCAGCGGGGCGACCGCUUCCACCGGGUGCUGCUGGCUCACGGCGUAGGAGCCCGGCCGGGGGGACCCGGCCGCGCGCUAAACCCUGCGCCGCGCGCCGACUUCUUCUUGACGGGCGCGCUCGAGGUGAUCUGCGAGGCCUGGCUGCGAGACCUGCUGUUCGCCCGCGCCGCGCCCACCUGGCUGAGGCGCCGCUACCUGCGGCUGCGCUACGAGGACCUGGUGGGCCAGCCGCGCGCCCAGCUGCGCCGCCUGCUGCGCUUCGCCGGGCUGCGGACGCUCCCGGCGCUGGAUGCCUUUGCGCUCAACAUGACGCGAGGCGCGGCCUACGGCGCGGACCGGCCCUUCCACCUGUCUGCGCGCGACGCCCGCGAGGCCGUGCACGCCUGGCGCGAGCGCCUGAGCCAGGAGCAGGUGCGCCAGGUGGAGGCCGCCUGCGGCCCGGCCAUGCACCUCCUGGCCUACCCUCGCAGCGGGGAGGAGGGCGGCUUCGAGCUGCCCCGGGACCAGGACACGCCGCUGGAGACCGAGGCUGAAGGUGCCACGUAGCCCACAUCACCUGCAUCCCCGGAUCCGAUCAGGCCUCAGUUUCCAGAAUAGCCAACUGUUGGCAUGAUGGCUGCUGCACAUAAGAAACGGUACACAGUGGAAGACUGGCCGGUUGCCCAGACUGGCUGGGCAGUGGCGCUCCCAGUUGAGCACACACAUUACAGUGCACAAGGAUUCAGGUUUCAGCCCUGCUCCCCACCUGCAGGGGGGAGAAGCUUCACGAACGGCGAAGCAGGUCUGCAGGUCUGUCGCCAUAAACGGAGCAUUCGGCAUGUUGUCCCAGCAGCAGAGAAGUUACACUGUGGAGAGGCGAUCGAUCAGACCCUCAGAGACUGGGCCCUGACUUGGUACCAAACUGCUGUGUAAUUCGGAGAGGAGUGGGGAUAUCAUGAGCUGCUGAAUAAUGACCAACACACUGGCUGAAACGAAGUUUCCAGUAAGGAAGUGAUAGUGCAAUGCAGAUAGUUGCGAGCAUAAAACAGGAAGAACUUGAAUUCCCAGCUGAAAGCACAUGAAUGCCCAGCUGAAACGUGCCUCUGCUGGAGCCAGUUCCACAAGGCAGCCUCAGAACAAAGAAGAGAAGUGAUUUGGUACCAAUUCCCACCAGGAGGUGUGUGGACAAACCAUGAAUGUGAACAAGGCAAAAGUGCAGUCCUGUGUACCUUGAUUAAAUGACUUAGUGCUAAACAAAAGGCAAUGGGCAGUAUUGUUUUAAACCUGGCUCAGCCAGCUUUCCUUCCUCAGAUAGGUCCUCCCUGCCCCCAACCCUAAAAAAAAAAGGAAAAAGAAAGCAGUAAUUUUUCUUGCUAAGAUGGGGGGGAGCUAAAGAAAUGCAACAGCUCCUUUGCUUUUGACUUACUCUGUGGUUUUUGUAAUUAUGCCAUUAAACGACCCUGGAGUCAUGUUAAUGACA
Molecule: RNA transcript, 2564 nt
Organism: Erinaceus europaeus (western European hedgehog)
Lineage: Eukaryota; Metazoa; Chordata; Mammalia; Eulipotyphla; Erinaceidae
Gene: CHST7
Gene name: carbohydrate sulfotransferase 7
Exons: 3
Source: RefSeq, a predicted model, not a curated record